This 82-nucleotide transfer RNA is filed under the name Daphnia pulicaria. Its description in RNAcentral is "tRNA-Ser". It matches the Rfam family "tRNA". From Rfam's summary of the family: Transfer RNA (tRNA) molecules are approximately 80 nucleotides in length. The record is from RNAcentral. Lineage: Eukaryota; Metazoa; Arthropoda; Branchiopoda; Diplostraca; Daphniidae.
GUAGUUGUGCCCGAGUGGUUAAGGCGAUAGAUUUGAAAUCUGUUCCUCUCUGAGGGCGUAGGUUCGAACCCUACCAACUGCG